GCUAUCAAUAAGCGGAGGAAAAGAAACUAACAAGGAUUCCCCUAGUAACUGCGAGUGAAGCGGGAAAAGCUCAAAUUUAAAAUCUGGCAGCCUUUUGGUUGUCCGAGUUGUAAUCUGGAGAAGUGUUUUCCGUGUCGGACCGUGUACAAGUCUCUUGGAACAGAGCGUCAUAGAGGGUGAGAAUCCCGUCCAUGACACGGACUCCCGAUGCUAUGUGAUACACUCUCAAAGAGUCGAGUUGUUUGGGAAUGCAGCUCAAAAUGGGUGGUAAAUUCCAUCUAAAGCUAAAUAUUGGCGAGAGACCGAUAGCGAACAAGUACCGUGAGGGAAAGAUGAAAAGCACUUUGGAAAGAGAGUUAAACAGUACGUGAAAUUGUUGAAAGGGAAACGCUUGAAGUCAGUCGCGUUGUCCGGGACUCAGCCUUGCUUUUGCUUGGUGUAUUUCCUGUUCAACGGGUCAACAUCAAUUUUGGCCGGCGGAUAAAGGCAUUGGGAAUGUGGCACCCUCGGGUGUGUUAUAGCCCUUUGUUGCAUACGUCGGCUGGGAUUGACGACCGCAGCAUGCCCUUUGGGCCGGGGGCUUGCCCCACGUAACAUGCUUAGGAUGUUGGCAUAAUGGCUUUAAGCGACCCGUCUUGAAACACGGACCAAGGAGUCUAACAUGCUCGCGAGUAUUAGGGUGGAAAACCCUUGUGCGUAAUGAAAGUGAAAGUUGGGACCUCUGUCAUGGAGGGCACCGACGCCCGGCCCGGAGCUUUUGUGAUGGUGCUGCGGUAGAGCGCGUAUGUUGGGACCCGAAAGAUGGUGAACUAUGCCUGAAUAGGGCGAAGCCAGAGGAAACUCUGGUGGAGGCUCGUAGCGAUUCUGACGUGCAAAUCGAUCGUCAAAUUUGGGUAUAGGGGCGAAAGACUAAUCGAACCAUCUAGUAGCUGGUUCCUGCG
Molecule: ribosomal RNA, 941 nt
Filed under: Kneiffiella alienata
Lineage: Eukaryota; Fungi; Basidiomycota; Agaricomycetes; Hymenochaetales
Description: partial large subunit ribosomal RNA
Rfam family: Eukaryotic large subunit ribosomal RNA
Source: RNAcentral